GGUGUCCGGCCAGGCAGUCGCUCUCCGCUUCGGCGGGGGGAGGAAAGUCCGAACACCACCGGGCAAGGUGCCCCGAGAAAUCGGGGGUCUCACAGGCCAUAUCCUGUGGGAACGGAAAGUGUCACAGAAAAUACACAUCCCCUUCUCUCAAUUCGUUGGGAGAGGGAGAAACGGUGAAAAGGUGGUGUAAGAGACCACCGCAUCCCGAGCAAUUGGGAUGGUCCCGGAAGGGAUCCUGACGGCGAGGAUGUCGCCAUCGGGACACGACAAACCCCACCUGGUGCAAGACCAAACAAGUUCCGCGCCCCGUUGCACGCCGUCGGCGGUCAACGGGGGAAGAGCGGCCCGCUCAACCCUCUUGCAGGCAACGGAACGGGUAGGUCGCAUCAGAUAAAUGACUGCCUCUUCUCCCUCGGGAGAACAGACAGAAUUCGGCUUAUCGGCCGACAUCUCCU
RNAcentral lists this RNase P RNA (455 nucleotides) under Ignavibacteria bacterium. RNAcentral describes it as "RNase P RNA component class A". It matches the Rfam family "Bacterial RNase P class A". Rfam says of the family: Ribonuclease P (RNase P) is a ubiquitous endoribonuclease, found in archaea, bacteria and eukarya as well as chloroplasts and mitochondria. The record is from RNAcentral. Lineage: Bacteria; Pseudomonadati; Ignavibacteriota; Ignavibacteria.